RNAcentral lists this ribosomal RNA (467 nucleotides) under uncultured bacterium. RNAcentral's name for it is "partial 16S ribosomal RNA". It matches the Rfam family "Bacterial small subunit ribosomal RNA", at positions 28 to 506 of the family's 1533-position model. The record is from RNAcentral.
GACGAACGCUGGCGGCGUGCUUAACACAUGCAAGUCGAACGGAAAGGCCCUGCUUUUGUGGGGUGCUCGAGUGGCGAACGGGUGAGUAACACGUGAGUAACCUGCCCUUGACUUUGGGAUAACUUCAGGAAACUGGGGCUAAUACCGGAUAGGAGCUCCUGCUGCAUGGUGGGGGUUGGAAAGUUUCGGCGGUUGGGGAUGGACUCGCGGCUUAUCAGCUUGUUGGUGGGGUAGUGGCUUACCAAGGCUUUGACGGGUAGCCGGCCUGAGAGGGUGACCGGCCACAUGGGGAAUGGGAUACGGCCCAGACUCCUAGGGGGGGAAGCGGGGGGGAAUUUUGCAAAAGGGGGGGAAGCCUGAUGCGGCAACGCCGGGGGGGGGAUGACGGCCUUGGGGUUGUAAACCGCUUUCGCCUGGAACAAAGGAGGGGGGAGGGUAAUGGGUAAAGAAGCACCGGCAAACUACGU